UCCAAAUGUUCUAUUUUCAAAUAUAUACUAGGUUAGUCUGUAUAAAAUGUUUACCCUAUUUCAAGUGACAUCACAAUGUAUCUUUUAUAUUUGAAAAAUAAGGGGUGCUAUUAAUAAUUAUGAUGGGACAAGAGGAAUAAAUCUAGACCUUCCUAGACAAACUGGAACAUAUGAUCAUCCACCAGGAAGAAGAUAGCAAGACAAAACAUCCCCAUCCUGCAUUUAUCUGAAGCCCUUGAGGACAUCAACCUCAUGUGUCUCAUAUUCUCAUCAUCUAGAACCAUGCCAACAAUUUUUUUGAUGCUUCCAUAAAGUUAUUUAAAGAAUGAAUAGAUGAAAGUAAGAUAGCAGGGAAGUCACACAUAGUUUUGAAUGUCAUUAUUCAGCAAUUUAAUGUCUAGCUGCAAUUAUGAGUGAUUAAAUUUCCAAAUUAGAAGCAAGUUCCUUCAUGAGUAAAAGACAAUCAUGAAUCUAUCAAUAACAGCCAAGAUUCCUGCAGAUCUUCUGACUAUGGC
This 515-nucleotide long non-coding RNA is filed under the name Fukomys damarensis (Damara mole-rat). RNAcentral describes it as "lncRNA (ENSFDAG00000030167.1)". Lineage: Eukaryota; Metazoa; Chordata; Mammalia; Rodentia; Bathyergidae. The record is from RNAcentral.